Molecule: small nuclear RNA, 312 nt
Filed under: Vicugna pacos (alpaca)
Lineage: Eukaryota; Metazoa; Chordata; Mammalia; Artiodactyla; Camelidae
Description: 7SK RNA (ENSVPAG00000016472.1)
Rfam family: 7SK RNA
About the family: 7SK was discovered as an abundant small nuclear RNA in the mid-70s but a possible function has only recently been suggested.
Source: Rfam by way of RNAcentral
AGAUGUGAGGGUGAUCCAGCUGCGACAGCUAUCAUCCCACUGAUCACCAGGGUUGAUUCGGGUGAUCUGGCUGGCUAGGCAGGUGUCCCCUUCCUCCCUCAUCCACUCCAUGUGCUUGCUUCCCUCCCGAAGCUCAGUCGAAGAGGAUGACCUUCCCCGAUAGAGGAGGACCGUGCUUCUCCAUCAAGGGUAUAUGAGUACCUGCACUCCCCUGCUAGGACCUACAAACAAGCUCUCAAAAGGUAGCAGCUGGAAUAGAAGGAGAACUGAGAGACUCUUCUGGAGUCCACAGCAAUGGGCAGGUCCUCAAGA